UGAGUGAGCUGAACAGCCGCGUGAAAUUAUUUUCAUGAGGAAAGUCCGAGCACCGCAGGGCGGGAUAACGGCUAACGGCCGCCGGGGNNGUAAGGGUGGAAAGGCGAGGUAAGAGCUCACCGGCACAUAGGAGACUAUGUGGCCCUGUAAACCCUAUCCGGUGCAACGUCGACAGAAGCAAUACAUUUGCCCGAUGUGCUUCGACAGGCGGCUUGAGCUGUAUGGCAACAUGCAGUCGAGAUAGAUGGCUGUUCAUGACACAUUGUCAAGACAGAACUCGGCUUACAGGCUCGCUCAUUUU
This 301-nucleotide RNase P RNA is filed under the name Oscillospiraceae bacterium. RNAcentral's name for it is "RNase P RNA component class A". It matches the Rfam family "Bacterial RNase P class A". Rfam says of the family: Ribonuclease P (RNase P) is a ubiquitous endoribonuclease, found in archaea, bacteria and eukarya as well as chloroplasts and mitochondria. Its best characterised activity is the generation of mature 5'-ends of tRNAs by cleaving the 5'-leader elements of precursor-tRNAs. The record is from RNAcentral. Lineage: Bacteria; Bacillati; Bacillota; Clostridia; Eubacteriales; Oscillospiraceae.